AGUGAACGCUGGCGGUAGGCCUAACACAUGCAAGUCGAACGGCAGCACAGUAAGAGCUUGCUCUUACGGGUGGCGAGUGGCGGACGGGUGAGGAAUACAUCGGAAUCUACUUUUUCGUGGGGGAUAACGUAGGGAAACUUACGCUAAUACCGCAUACGACCUACGGGUGAAAGCAGGGGAUCUUCGGACCUUUCGCGAUUGAAUGAGCCGAUGUCGGAUUGGCUAGUUGGCGGGGUAAAGGCCCACCAAGGCGACGAUCCGUAGCUGGUCUGAGAGGAUAAUCAGCCACACUGGAACUGAGACAGGGUCCAGACUCCUACGGGAGGCAGCAGUGGGGAAUAUUGGACAAUGGGCGGAAGCCUGAUCCAGCCAUACCGCGUGUGUGAAGAAGGCCUUCGGGUUGUAAAGCCCUUUUGUUGGGAAAGAAAAGCAGCAGGUUAAUACCCCGCUGUUCUGACGGUACCCAAAGAAGAAGCACCGGCUAACUUCGUG
This 492-nucleotide ribosomal RNA is filed under the name uncultured bacterium. RNAcentral describes it as "partial 16S ribosomal RNA". It matches the Rfam family "Bacterial small subunit ribosomal RNA", at positions 29 to 507 of the family's 1533-position model. The record is from RNAcentral.